This 1731-nucleotide long non-coding RNA is filed under the name Helianthus annuus (common sunflower). RNAcentral's name for it is "hypothetical non coding rna". Lineage: Eukaryota; Viridiplantae; Streptophyta; Magnoliopsida; Asterales; Asteraceae. The record is from RNAcentral.
UUGGGGGAGUUUUAGAAAUAUGCACGAAACUGAAACCCAUUUCUCGGGCAUAAGGCGAUGAUUACAUGAAGGCACGAAACUAGUGUGUGAAUUGCGCACCUGGCCAGUACGCAAGAAGCAUAUGACGUUCGUGAGACCGUGGCAAUUAUUGCAGGUAUGUCCGGUAGAACUGGGUAGCAGGUGGGCGCUAUGUUGAAGCGAAUGCGAAAUAGCAAACCAUUGCGGAUUUGGUUAUGCUAACGAAGGUUAUGAAAAGUUAUGCGAGUCGACCGGUUCUAGCAAACAAGUCAAAUAAGAAUAAGCUACCAUCUGUUUUGAACGAGUGAUUUUGAAUGCUCUAAUGAAUGCUAGAAGCUUAAUCCGUUAUACGGAUUGAAAGAAGAAGUUAUGUUAAAAGCGACAAACCCAAUUAUUUGGGUAGUGGAAUGUGUAUGCUUAACUCUCGUUGAGAGUGUUUAUGCCAAACCCAAUUAUUUGGGUAGUGGAAUGUGUAUGCUUAACUCUCGUUGAGAGUGUUUAUGCCAAACCCAAUUAUUUGGGUAGUGGAAUGUGUAUGCUUAACUCUCGUUGAGAGUGUUUAUGCCAAACCCAAUCAUUUGGGUAGUGGAAUGUGUAUGCUUAACUCUCGUUGAGAGUGUUUAUGCCAAACCCAAUUAUUUGGGUAGUCGAAUGUGUAUGCUUAACUCUCUUUGAGAGUGUUUACGCCGAACCCAAUUACUUGGGUAGUCGAAUGUGUAAGAAAGAAGAAAGCUCAUAUGUGGAUGGAAUUAAAAUGAUGUGAUUAUGAUUCGACAACUGAGAUGACUAACUUUAAAAUCUUGUUGCUGAAGGCAGGUAAAACUUUAAGUUUUUGUUAAAACACAUGUAAGGAAGAAAAGGUACGAAAGAUAUGUUUGAAGCCGUUAGAUGGAUUCAAACAUAGAAGGAAUGAAGGGUAUGGAUGUUACAUUUAAAUCCGUGGGACGGAUUUAAAACAUGUACCUCGAUACGUAUAUAUAUAUAAAUAACAAGAAUGAUAUAUUAAGAAAUGGCCAUGUAUUGACCUGUUAUGAAUAGGACUAACACACUAAUGUCUUAAGAAGGAAUUGAUAAAGUAUUGAUGUAUAAACGAGGUCAUAAAUCAGGAUGCAAUGAAUCUACCGAGGACGGUGAAAGAAUGCUCAUGAAUGAAAGCUCAUGAUACCAGAUGGAAAAGAUCAACCCUGUUAAGAUACGGAUUCGUGAAGGAGCGAGUCAACUCGGGUUGUUACACGUUGGUCGGUGCCAAAUUAGCAAGGUUAGUAAAUGGUUUAACUUAUGGAUGCUAAAUAGAAAGUUACAUAUUGAAUGAUGUUUCUAUGUGAACUGGUGGUACUGAAAUAAAUUAGUACCACCAAUAGUAUACAUUGGAAUAAAUUCCAAUGAACGAAUCGCUAGUGAUGAUGUAUGCUAGAAACUGGCGUUAUAAACUGAAAACGACACUAAUAAGAGCCCUGAAUCAGAUUCUGACUUAUAGGUGAUUAUGAAAGAAAUUUAUUUGAUUUAAGAUCGAGGGACAAUGCGUACAAAUACGUUUAUGCAUGAAUAAAAAAAAAAAACUUGUGCUAAGAUCCUGAAUGCGUCGAUAUUGUAUUAAGCAUCGUGAAUGAAUAGAUGAAAAGGUAAGAGUAGAAGUGGUCUAGUUGGAAUGAGAAAGGUUUCGGGGACGAAGCCUCCUUUAAGGGGGGUAGACUUGUAACGCCCCAAAAACCG